This 1482-nucleotide ribosomal RNA is filed under the name uncultured sediment bacterium. Its description in RNAcentral is "bacterial SSU rRNA". It matches the Rfam family "Bacterial small subunit ribosomal RNA". The record is from RNAcentral.
AGAGUUUGAUCCUGGCUCAGGAUGAACGCUAGCGGCAGGCCUAACACAUGCAAGUCGAGGGGUAACGAUUUCGAGCAAUCGAAAGGCGACGACCGGCGCACGGGUGAGUAACGCGUAUGCAACCUGCCUCUGACUGGGGAAUAGCUUCCGGAAACGGAAAUUAAUACCCCAUAACAUUGCGAAGCCGCAUGGUUUUGCAAUUAAAGCUCCGGCGGUCAGAGAUGGGCAUGCGUGACAUUAGUUUGUUGGUGAGGUAACGGCUCACCAAGACUACGAUGUCUAGGGGGUCUGAGAGGAUGGUCCCCCACACUGGUACUGAGACACGGACCAGACUCCUACGGGAGGCAGCAGUGAGGAAUAUUGGGCAAUGGACGCAAGUCUGACCCAGCCAUGCCGCGUGCAGGAUGACGGCCCUAUGGGUUGUAAACUGCUUUUAUUUGGGAAGAAACCCCCCGACGUGUCGGGGGCUGACGGUACCAAAAGAAUAAGCAUCGGCUAACUCCGUGCCAGCAGCCGCGGUAAUACGGAGGAUGCAAGCGUUAUCCGGAUUUAUUGGGUUUAAAGGGUGCGUAGGCGGGAAAUUAAGUCAGUGGUGAAAUCCUACAGCUUAACUGUAGAACUGCCAUUGAUACUGAUUUUCUUGAGUGCAGUUGAGGUGGGCGGAACGUAUAAUGUAGCGGUGAAAUGCUUAGAUAUUAUACAGAACACCGAUUGCGUAGGCAGCUCACUAAACUGUAACUGACGCUCAGGCACGAAAGCGUGGGUAGCGAACAGGAUUAGAUACCCUGGUAGUCCACGCCGUAAACGAUGAUCACUCGUUGUUGGCGAUACACAGUCAGCGACUAAGCAAAAGCAUUAAGUGAUCCACCUGGGGAGUACGAUCGCAAGGUUGAAACUCAAAGGAAUUGACGGGGGCCCGCACAAGCGGAGGAACAUGUGGUUUAAUUCGAUGAUACGCGAGGAACCUUACCUGGGCUUAANUGCAGGGCGAUUUCUGCCGAAAGGCAGUUUCCUUCGGGCGACCUGCAAGGUGCUGCAUGGUUGUCGUCAGCUCGUGCCGUGAGGUGUCGGGUUAAGUCCCAUAACGAGCGCAACCCUCAUCGUUAGUUGCCAUCGGGUAAUGCCGGGGACUCUAACGAAACUGCCGGUGUAAACCGUGAGGAAGGUGGGGAUGACGUCAAAUCAGCACGGCCCUUAUGUCCAGGGCUACACACGUGUUACAAUGGCCGGUACAAAGGGCAGCUACCUGGUGACAGGAUGCUAAUCUCUAAAGCCGGUCUCAGUUCGGAUCGAAGUCUGCAAUUCGACUUCGUGAAGUUGGAUUCGCUAGUAAUCGCGCAUCAGCAACGGCGCGGUGAAUACGUUCCCGGGCCUUGUACACACCGCCCGUCAAGCCAUGGAAGCCGGGGGUGCCUGAAGUCCGUAACCGUAAGGAGCGGCCUAGGGUAAAACUGGUGACUGGGGCUAAGUCGUAACAAGGUA